This 258-nucleotide ribosomal RNA is filed under the name uncultured bacterium. RNAcentral's name for it is "partial 16S ribosomal RNA". It matches the Rfam family "Bacterial small subunit ribosomal RNA", at positions 524 to 776 of the family's 1533-position model. The record is from RNAcentral.
UACAUGGGGUGCAAACGUUGCUCGGAAUUAUUGGGCGUAAAGCGCACGUAGGUGGCCUGUUAUGUCAGAUGUGAAAGCCCUCGGCUUAACUGAGGAAGUGCACCUGAAACUGGCAGGCUUGAGUACGAAAGAGGGUCGCUGGAAUUCCCGGUGUGAGCCGGUGAAAUGCGUAGAGAUCGGGAGGAAUACCGGUGGCGAAAGCGAACUCUCUGGACGGCAACUGACGGCUGAGGCACGAAAGCGUGGGGAGCAAACAGG